AGCUUUCCAACUACGUGCUAUGGUUUGAAGUCUCGUGAAAGGGGAAGAUGCGGACCUCCCAGGAUGAAGGGGUUCCUGAUCAGCUUUGCUGCUUGGUGCUCGCCUUCUGGGUCCAUAGCUAGACAGCGAUCCCAAAGGAAAUCCACGAAGCCAGGAAUGAUGUCUCUCUUGAUGGCAGCCAUAUCCUCCCUGUCCUCCACUGUGAUUGGCUCAACGAUAACUUCUAAUUAAAUAAAUGAAUGGUGCACCGAUGAAUGGACACACUGGAACAACUUGGAUAUGACACCAUGCAUACUUUUUGCUAUGGAAUAAAUAACGUGUCCAAGGUCACACAGUCAGGGGAACCAACAGCGAAAGCCUGAUUUCCCCGACUCCAGAGCCCACAGACUUUCUUCUCUUACCACCAGGCCUUGCUGCGUCUGCAAGUUUCUCCUCAGUGUCUCAAAUGUGGGAUGUCUUGCCACAGACACUAUUUACUAAUUCAUUAAUCCACCUCCUCCUGGAAACUGUCUAGGGCACUUGCUCUCUGCCCCUCACGGGUACUGGGAAGGCCCUUCUGGAGAACAUGAGGAGCUUCCUCUUGUCUCUUCUGGAGGGCUGGGAAUGUCGGUCCUGCCCACUGUUCUGGUCAGCUGCAAAGACACAACGUCAUCCUCCAGAGAUGCCCAGUCCUGAUGAGGACACUGAAAGCCAGGACAGACACUCCCUCCAGGUCAGACAGCCAAGUACUAGGGCAGCCGCGGCUGGAACUCAGGCCUCCAGGCUCACUGCCCAGCACCCAUUCCCUGCUCUGGGUUUCCUCCGUGUGAGCAUUUCACAGAGACAGCGGCUCAUCCAAAGGAGACCCUUACUCACAGUAGGGCCCAAGAAUGGGGCUUGUAUGGGAGAUCCUGGCCUAAGCAUUAAAGAGGAGACCAUGCCUUACUCACCCCUGACCCUCCACUGCCACCCUGGCUCUUAGGUGGCCCAGCCACAUCCCCUGCAGAGAGAGGCAGACUGUGUAGCCUGAGCGCGGGAAUGCCUGUAAUACACAGAUUACGACACUAGAGGGCAGACUCACUGCUUCAAUCCUAGUGACCACAAAGGCUUUUAAGAAGCCUUCACCAGACUGAGGAUGAUGAUGGUGGUGGUGGUGGUGGAGGUGACUGAGACUACUAUGUAUUGAGUGAAGAUGAUUUCUCAUCUCUAACCAGCAGGUCUUCUGUGCAUACCACGUUCUGCUGUGUCCUGAAUCACAGAAAAUGGACCAGCUCCACCGUUACCCAAGUCUGAAACCUGGGCAUCGCCAUCAGCUUCCUCCUCCCUCCCUCUCUCCACUCUGCCACCUACUCCUGUCCAUUCUAUAUGCUAAAUCUUGUCCCUUCCCCAUCUUUCCAGGCCCACAGUUUGUCCUUCUCCUCCAACUUUCCAUUCGAUUUACAGAGAGCCACAGUCUCCUGCCUCAGGCCCUCAGGCAGGCCAGUGUUCCUGAACUUUGCUGCACAUUGGAAUUUCCUGGAGCUUCCAAAAUUCCAGCUGCCACACAUCAGACCAAUUAAGUCAGGAUGUCUGGGGGUGGGAACCCGGCAUUGGUACUUUUU
Molecule: long non-coding RNA, 1580 nt
Organism: Piliocolobus tephrosceles (Ugandan red Colobus)
Lineage: Eukaryota; Metazoa; Chordata; Mammalia; Primates; Cercopithecidae
Exons: 3
Source: RefSeq, a predicted model, not a curated record